RNAcentral lists this ribosomal RNA (1124 nucleotides) under Patellaria atrata. Its description in RNAcentral is "eukaryotic LSU rRNA". It matches the Rfam family "Eukaryotic large subunit ribosomal RNA", at positions 95 to 1386 of the family's 3401-position model. The record is from RNAcentral. Lineage: Eukaryota; Fungi; Ascomycota; Dothideomycetes; Patellariales; Patellariaceae.
GAAGCGGCAACAGCUCAAAUUUGAAAUCUGUCUCUUUCAGGGACCGAGUUGUAAUUUGUAGAGGGUGCUUCGGGGUCGGCUCCGGUCUAAGUUCCUUGGAACAGGACGUCACAGAGGGUGAGAAUCCCGUACGUGGCCGGCCGUCUUCCCCAUGUGAAGCCCCUUCGACGAGUCGAGUUGUUUGGGAAUGCAGCUCUAAAUGGGAGGUAUAUUUCUUCUAAAGCUAAAUAUCGGCCGGAGACCGAUAGCGCACAAGUAGAGUGAUCGAAAGAUGAAAAGCACUUUGAAAAGAGAGUCAAAAAGUACGUGAAAUUGUUGAAAGGGAAGCGCUUGCGACCAGACUUGCCCGCAGUUGCUCAACCGGCCUUCUGGCUCGGUGCACUCUUCUGCGGUCAGGCCAGCAUCGGUUCGGGCGGUCGGAUAAAGACCUCGGGAAUGUGGCUCCCCUCGGGGAGUGUUAUAGCCCUUGGUGCAAUGCGGCCAGCCUGGACCGAGGACCGCGCUUCGGCUAGGAUGCUGGCGUAAUGGUCGUAAGCGGCCCGUCUUGAAACACGGACCAAGGAGUCUAACAUCUAUGCGAGUGUUUGGGCGUCAAACCCAUACGCGUAAUGAAAGUGAACGGAGUGGGAACCCUUGGGUGCACCAUCGACCGAUCCCGAUGUCUUCGGAAGGAUUUGAGUAAGACUAGUAGCUGGUUCCUGCCGAAGUUUCCCUCAGGAUAGCAGUAACGUUUUCAGUUUUAUGAGGUAAAGCGAAUGAUUAGAGGCCUUGGGGUUGAAACAACCUUAACCUAUUCUCAAACUUUAAAUAUGUAAGAAGUCCUUGUUACUUAAUUGAACGUGGACAUUUGAAUGCACCGUUACUAGUGGGCCAUUUUUGGUAAGCAGAACGGCGAUGCGGGAUGAACCGAACGCGAGGUUAAGGUGCCGGAAUGCACGCUCAUCAGACACCACAAAAGGUGUUAGUUCAUCUGGACAGCAGGACGGUGGCCAUGGAAGUCGGAACCCGCUAAGGAGUGUGUAACAACUCCCUGCCGAAUGAACUAGCCCUGAAAAUGGAUGGCGCUCAACGCGUGCUACCCAUACCUCGCCGCCCGGGUAGAUUCGAUGCCCGGGCGAGUAGGC